ACCCAAUAGAUACCCGGGUAGUCCACGCCCUAAACGAUGGAUACUAGGCGUAAGAGGUAUCGACCCCUCUUGUGCCGCAGCUAAACGCAUUAAGUAUCCCGCCUGGGGAGUACGGCCGCAAGGUUGAAACUCAAAUGAAUUGACGGGGACCCGCACAAGCGGUGGAGCAUGUGGAUUAAUUCGAUACUAACCGAAGAACCUUACCCAGGUUUGACAUCGAUUGUAAAGCUCUAGAGAUAGGGCCCUCCCCCACAAGGGGACGAUGAAGACACUUGUUGCAUGGCUGUCGUCAGCUCGUGCCGUGAGGUGUACGGUUAAGUCCGCCAACGAGCGCAACCCUCGUCCUGUGUUACCAGCGAUUAAAGUCGGGAACUCACAGGAGACCGCCGGUGUAAGCCGGAGGAAGGUGAGGAUGACGUCAAGUCAGCAUGGCAGUUACGCCUGGGGCGUUCACACAUGCUACAAUGGGCGAAACAAUGGGCAGCAAUACCGCGAGGUGGAGCAAAUCCCAAAACUACGCCCCACGUUCAGAUUGCAGUCUGC
RNAcentral lists this ribosomal RNA (543 nucleotides) under uncultured bacterium. Its description in RNAcentral is "bacterial SSU rRNA". It matches the Rfam family "Bacterial small subunit ribosomal RNA", at positions 772 to 1308 of the family's 1533-position model. The record is from RNAcentral.